This 318-nucleotide ribosomal RNA is filed under the name Triticum aestivum (bread wheat). Its description in RNAcentral is "partial small subunit ribosomal RNA". Lineage: Eukaryota; Viridiplantae; Streptophyta; Magnoliopsida; Poales; Poaceae. The record is from RNAcentral.
AUGAUCUGUCAGGUUUGCAUGAUGAAAAAGCAAAUGUUCAGAGGGUACUACCUUCUCGACAUCUUCAAGUGCAGAGAGAAGAAGACUGACAAUGAGGAGAGAAAGCAGCAAAGAGUUGAAACAGCACUCACGACAGUCUGGGCAGUUCAGGCGACCUGCAUGGCUGCUACAAAGAUCAGUACCACAAGUGAAAAUCCACACGAGAGUUCGGGCUAUCAAGAUGAAAAAACAGCUGAAAGAACAACAGCCCUGCCUGAUGGACUGGGGUCAGGUGUUGGCAAGAACGGAAGAAAAUGUGACCAUGAUGCUUUCAACUGA